RNAcentral lists this small RNA (1109 nucleotides) under uncultured bacterium. RNAcentral's name for it is "bacterial SSU rRNA". The stretch from base 1 to 489 matches the Rfam family "Bacterial small subunit ribosomal RNA", at positions 1045 to 1533 of the family's 1533-position model. The record is from RNAcentral.
AUGGCUGUCGUCAGCUCGUGUCGUGAGAUGUUGGGUUAAGUCCCGCAACGAGCGCAACCCCUACCCUUAAUUGCCAUCGGGUUAUGCCGGGCACUUUAGGGGGACUGCCGGUGACAAGCCGGAGGAGGGUGGGGAUGACGUCAAGUCCUCAUGGCCUUUAUGACCAGGGCUACACACGUGUUACAAUGGGAGUUACAGAGGGAAGCUAAACCGCGAGGUCAUGCCAAUCCCAGAAAAACUUUCUCAGUUCGGAUCGCAGUCUGCAACUCGACUGCGUGAAGCUGGAAUCGCUAGUAAUCGCGGAUCAGCACGCCGCGGUGAAUACGUUCCCGGGCCUUGUACACACCGCCCGUCACACCAUGGGAGCCGACAAGGGCAGAAGUCGCCGAGCUAACCUUCGGGAAGCAGGCGCCCAAGCUGUUGUUGACGACUGGGGUGAAGUCGUAACAAGGUAGCCGUAGGAGAACCUGCGGCUGGAUCACCUCCUUUCUAAGGACGCCGGAGAUGCUUUAUGCUUAUCUCCGGAUAGUCAAAGUCGAAACAGACUCUCUUCUCUUCUCUCCCUUUUCUCCUGUAAAUGCUAAGUUAUGAAUUUAGAGCAACGAAAGAAUACAGUUCGUUACUGUGGACUCCUAAUUUCAAGAGGGGCCUGUAGCUCAGCUUGGUUAGAGCGCAUCCCUGAUAAGGAUGAGGCCGGUGGUUCAAGUCCACCCAGGCCCACCAGUUUCAGUGGGGGAUUAGCUCAGCUGGUAGAGCGCCUGCUUUGCAAGCAGGAGGUCAGCGGUUCGACCCCGCUAUCCUCCACCAAAUUAAUGAACAGUAAAAAAAGGUGGUGCAGCUUAAGCAGAAGAUAAGCUUCAGCAAUUAUUUAAUAAUUUCUGAAUUUUAUUUUUUAAUAUCUUAGACAAUUAAAUCGGAGGUUUUGGAGACACAAGAUCAAAUGUGAGGGUCUCCAAGGGUUGACGAUCUUGACUGUUAAAGUCAGGUAGUAAGGGCGCAGGGCGGAUGCCUUGGCUCUGGGAAGCGAAGAAGGACGUGGCUAGCUGCGAUAAGCCUCGGGGAAGAGCAAACAUCUUUUGAUCCGGGGAUUUCCGAAUGGGGAAACCCGG